RNAcentral lists this ribosomal RNA (255 nucleotides) under Glaesserella parasuis. RNAcentral describes it as "partial 16S ribosomal RNA". It matches the Rfam family "Bacterial small subunit ribosomal RNA", at positions 845 to 1099 of the family's 1533-position model. Lineage: Bacteria; Pseudomonadati; Pseudomonadota; Gammaproteobacteria; Pasteurellales; Pasteurellaceae. The record is from RNAcentral.
CCCGUAGCUAACGUGAUAAAUCGACCGCCUGGGGAGUACGGCCGCAAGGUUAAAACUCAAAUGAAUUGACGGGGGCCCGCACAAGCGGUGGAGCAUGUGGUUUAAUUCGAUGCAACGCGAAGAACCUUACCUACUCUUGACAUCCUAAGAAGCUUUCAGAGAUGAGAGUGUGCCUUCGGGAACUUAGAGACAGGUGCUGCAUGGCUGUCGUCAGCUCGUGUUGUGAAAUGUUGGGUUAAGUCCCGCAACGAGCGC